This 502-nucleotide long non-coding RNA is filed under the name Heterocephalus glaber (naked mole-rat). RNAcentral describes it as "lncRNA (ENSHGLG00100045888.1)". The record is from RNAcentral. Lineage: Eukaryota; Metazoa; Chordata; Mammalia; Rodentia; Bathyergidae.
UGGGUCUUUCCUGUACAUAUGCAACCAGGAUUUGGCUAAGGCAAGAUUACAGCCAAGGAGGAAGAAGAGGAAGAGGAAGAGGAUGGUGGAGUAAAGGUGGCUGAACUGCAAGGACUCAUCACCUCACAAGCGGGCACAAACCCCAUGUGUUCCAUGUGGCAGUAGGCCUAACUAAAUGAAUAGGUCCUGUUACCCUCCCUCUACCCUAGAGAAGAAAUGCAAGAUCAUUUGAAAAGGAGGAGAUCUUGGGAAUCUUGUCUAUAAGAAGACUGGAAAGGUAUUCAUGUCUGCAAGAAUUUAAAGAUCUUCCUGGAGGACUUCCUGUUCAAGAUGAUGAACUAGCAUACAUUUUAUUUGCAUCUUGUAACAAGGACAGUAAAGGCAUUCCUCUAACAAGGAAGACAGAAGUGGGGAGGAAGAUUUGUGGAAGAAGAUGCAUAAAGAAAUGCUGGUUGAUUAAACAGAGUGGAGAAAUUCAGCUCGAUAUAUAUUCAAAGAGGAC